UUUUUUCUUGAAAAGUGUGUGAAUACUUUGUCUAAGAGAAGUAUUUUCUGAAUUUAAGUAAGAAAAGGUUAUUUAUUAUUCAAGUUUAGUGACUAUGGACGCUGAAGUCGAAGGCAGCGUUGAAAAUAAUGUACAAUCUGGCGACGAAGCGGCUUCACCAUCUAAAGAUGGUGCGCCUGGGCCUUCUCAGGAAAACAAUUCAACCCCUAAUAUAAAUGGAAAUGCGGGACAAGCAACGCCAGAUACAAGCGAAGGCGAAUCUCAAUGGACUCCAAACAAUCAAAGUGCUGUUGCUGCUAAACCUUUUAGUAUGCCGCCAUUUGGUGGACCACCCGGAUCUUUCCGUGGUGGACGAGGAGGUAUUCAUAUAAUGCCUUUUGGUCGCGGUGGUGCUCGAGGGGGUGGCGGCAAUUUUGGCGGACGCGGGCCGGGAAACUUUGAUCCGAAUUGGCAGGGACAAAAUCAAAAUGGCCCACCAAAUAUGACAAACGGGCCACCACUCGAACUGUGGGUGGAGACUAAGACAGAUGAUGGCAAAUCUUAUUUUUAUCACGCCAUGACACGUGAAACAACAUGGACUAGACCAGAAGGUCAAAAUAUUAAAGUUAUGACUCAAGCAGAAAUUGAGGAAGUGAAUAAAAAACAGCAACCACCUCAGCAGCAAACUCAACAGAAUAACGCACAGCUUGCGGAUGCAAAUGUUAAAGGGCCAGAGCCGGGUGGUCACGCUCAAGGUGGCAUGAUAGAUGCGCAAAAGGAGUUACCCCCCAUGUCGGUUGCUCCACCCAUGAAAGCACCAGAUACAUUGACGCAACAUCCACCACCAAAUAUGAUGUCACAACCACCACCCACACAACAGACCUUGACGCAGCCACCACCAAAUGUAGUACCAAGCGGUGCGCCACCAAUGACACAACAGCCUCCACCUGCAAUGCACCAACAGCCACCUCCAUUCUUUCCACCUGGUAUGCAUCCACCGAAUUUCUCGCAAACUCCAUUUGGAAUGCCUCCUCCUGGUUAUGGUGGUUUUCCUGGUGGACCAGCACCUUGGGGUAUGCCCUGGAAUCAGCACAUGCAUCCACCACACGGUCCGCCGGUGCAAGACAAACCGGCAAAAAAUUUAAUUAUAAAACCUGGUGUAAUUGAUCCUGCUGUAAUUGCACGCGCUGCUGAAUGGUCCGAACAUCGUGCACCUGACGGACGUCCCUAUUACUAUCAUGCCGGUCGCGGCGAGAGCGUUUGGGAGAAACCACAAGCGUUACGCGACAUGGAAGCAGCACGAAUGGCUGCUCAUUCGGGGACAACACCGCAACAGGCAGUGGCGCCCCAAGUCGCACCCACCAUGCCACCACACAUGAUGCCCAAUCCUGCACUUAUGCACAUGACGCCGGCAGCCGGCGGUUAUGAACAGGCUAUGGCAUACAAUGCUGCUGCUGCCGCAGCCGCAGCCGCCGCCGCUGCAGCAGCUGCUGCCAAUCUUAAACCCAUCGAACAAACCAAAGCGGCGCAAGCUGCGGCACUGGAAAAAGAAUCCAGGAAGGUGGCAGAGGAAAAACGAAAGAAAGAGGAGGAGCAACAAAAGAAAGUUACGGCAACAGCAGCAAAACCAGUAGAUAAAUCACGUCCUAUUUCAAGUACUCCCAUUGCUGGUACACCAUGGUGUGUCGUUUGGACAGGUGACGCGAGGGUUUUUUUCUAUAAUCCUUCCACACGCACAUCUGUUUGGGAAAGACCCGACGAUUUGAUAGACCGUGCCGACGUAGACAAAGCAGUCAACAAUCCGCCGGAGCAGUUAAAGGCUGCUGGUAGUGUCGCUGCGGAGAAACAGGUCGAAAAGAUUGAGACAGAGAAGAAAAAAGAGGUUGAAAUUCCCGAGGAAGAGGAAGAAGAAGAGCAAGAAGAUGAUGAAGUUAUCAAAAUACGCACUGAAUCUGAAUCCAGUGUGGAAGAAGUACCAACGAAGAAGUCCCGAUUAUCCGCAAAGCAAACCAGGAAGGCGGAUGCCAACGAAGCAGCCGUAGAAGCCGAGGUACGCGCGGCUAAGGAGCGUGCUGUAGUGCCAUUGGAGACACGUGUCAAACAGUUCAAAGAAAUGUUGCGUGAAAAAGAUGUAUCAGCAUUCAGCACUUGGGAGAAGGAGCUACACAAAAUUGUUUUCGAUCCACGUUACUUGUUGCUAACCUCCAAAGAGCGCAAACAGGUGUUUGAAAAGUACGUUAAAGAUCGCGCCGAAGAGGAACGCAAGGAGAAGCGCAAUAAGAUGCGUCAAAAGCGCGAAGAUUUUCGCAAGCUUAUGGAAGAUGCAAAGCUGCAUGGAAAGUCCUCAUUCAGUGAGUUUUGUCAGCGUUAUGGCAAAGAUGACCGCUAUAAAGCUAUCGAAAAGGUGCGCGAACGUGAGAGCCUCUUUAACGAAUAUAUUGUAGAUGUGCGUCGUCAAGAAAAAGAGGAGAAAAUACAAAAAAAGGAACAGGUAUGUGCGUGUUCCCUUAAAUGCAUGCGGGCCGAGAAUGCGUUUGUUAGCUUAGUUAAUUUGGGUUUUGGGCCGCAGCAAACGUACUUCUUAUUUAAAUAUUUAGUAAUUCGUAUUUUUAAAUGAUUAAUUGAAUUUUUCAUACGUCUCUAUUUGUAUAUACACUUAUUAUAUUGUUAAUGCUUCACAGCAAAGUUUAUACUUUUUAUUUUUUAUAAAAAUUUUCUUCACUCUAAUCUUGAAAUCUCAAAACAAAUCAAACAAAAAAAUCUACCACUACUACUUCAACGCUUAUAAAUAUCGGCUAAACUACGCACGAACAACAAAUUGUCAACCAACUACAAAAAAACAUAGUCAAUUGCAACCAAUCAUGUGAUUAUAGGUCAGCUGCUUGAAGUGUGUUUAAAGCGAAUAUUAUUUUGCUUUGCCGUGUAAAAGUUGGUUGACGUAGAAAAAAAGCAAAAUUGCUAAAUAUCGUUUUUAGGCAGCAGUAUAAACGUAAGGAAAACGCAGCAAAUAAUAUGUAGCAGCGUAACGUGUGACUGAUUGAUAAUUCAUGGUCAUCCAGCUGCCAACGACCGCAUCAAAUUGCAUUGAUCCGCCAGGCAACCAUGUCCAUCCUACUACUACCACCCAUCAACCCAGUGACUUGCCUGUUCGUUAGUACCUUCACGCCUGCUCGGCACGUUUUCCCCAAAUUGUUUGUGUCUAUCUAGCUCGAGCUCGUGGAACGUCGGCACGUCACAUGUUACAUAUUGAAGCUAUUUGGAUGCGCACAGACAAAUGGUGUAUAUUGAUGGAGGGAAAACGCAAUGGACACAUAGAAGACGUAACGGCAUUAGGCAGACGACAAGACAUGCCAAACUCCCAACAGCUGGCAGUUUAGUUAAUGUUGGCGCUCGAGUCUCCAGUCUCUGGUCUCUGAGUGUGGCAGAGCUUGAACUAGAGCGGGAGUGGGAGUUGAGCGAGAAGAGACAGAAACAGUAUGAAUAAAAACUCAAUCUAAACUUCAUACAUUUAGAAUUUUUGUUACAGCCGCAAGUGCAAUAAGCAUUUCAAAAUUCGAUAUUUCACAUUCGUGCCAGAAGUGCAUAUUUUGAAUAUAUAUAUAUAAUAGAUUUUUUUGCUAGUAAAUCAUAAUCUAUGGCACGUGACACUUAUUACCAUUUCAAAAAUGUCAAACGAAUGUGAAAUAUUGACUUUUACUGACGGGCUUUACUUGUAAGUUCAUAAAGUAAAGCAUUCAAUACAUUAUCUAUAUGUAUUCUUAUUAUAUAACACACGUACAUGUCAUUGUUGUCCGUCCGUCCGUCCGUCGACAAAGUGCCCAUACACAUUGCUUCUCUAAUUUAUGACAAUAAUAUUUUUAAUUUUCAGCUCUACACUGUUGGAUUCUCAUAAUUAAGUCAUCAAUAAAUUUCUGUUUCAGCAUUCGACGCCAUUUAAUUAUACUACUAAUCUUGAAACUUCUCUUGCAGCAUAAUUAAUUAUAAUUAUUAUUUAAGUUAUGAUUGUCGACUAUUAAGUUAGUUAGUAAGCGUCAUCUAUAAGCCCCUGUUAUGUGCCUAUAAAAUUAUGGUGUAAGCUAAAACGAAAGCCAAUGCCUGAAAUAGUCUAAUUCUCCAUAUUUGUUUUCUCUCUUUGUAUCUUCCUGACUGCACUUGCUACAUUUAUCCAAAUGCACAUCCCAAAACACAAACUACGUACCUCUAACAAAUUUUAGAUACGCAAAGAUUUCAUAGAAAU
This 4216-nucleotide unclassified non-coding RNA is filed under the name Bactrocera tryoni. RNAcentral describes it as "transcription elongation regulator 1, transcript variant X1". Lineage: Eukaryota; Metazoa; Arthropoda; Insecta; Diptera; Tephritidae. The record is from RNAcentral.